RNAcentral lists this ribosomal RNA (543 nucleotides) under Blautia sp. AM46-3MH. RNAcentral's name for it is "partial 23S ribosomal RNA". It matches the Rfam family "Bacterial large subunit ribosomal RNA", at positions 1134 to 1693 of the family's 2925-position model. The record is from RNAcentral. Lineage: Bacteria; Bacillati; Bacillota; Clostridia; Lachnospirales; Lachnospiraceae. RNAcentral also lists the same sequence under 1 other name.
GUAAUAGCUCACUGGUCGAGAGGUCCUGCGCCGAAAAUGUCCGGGGCUGAAACACGACACCGAAGCUGAGGAAUGUCUGAAGACAUUGGUAGAGGAGCAUUGGAUACGCAACGAAGCAGUACCGGAAGGAGCUGUGGAGUGUAUCGAAGAGAGAAUGCCGGAAUGAGUAGCGAGAGAGAGGUGGGAAUCCUCUCGGCCGAAUAUCUAAGGUUUCCAGGGUAAAGCUGAUCUGCCUGGGUAAGUCGGGGCCUAAGGCGAGGACGAGAGUCGUAGCCGAUGGACAACAGGUUGAGAUUCCUGUACUGCAGUAAGACAGAACUGUGGGGACACGUGUGGAGAGCAUAGGCGCGGAAUGGAAAGCCGCGUGCAAGCGAGGUAGGAGUCCUGUAGGAAAAACCGCAGGGCAAUCCGAAGGCGUGAUGCGGACCGAAAUCUAGUAGGGAAGUAUGUGAGCCAUGCGUCAAGAAAAGCCGCUAUUGUUCUUAUUGUACCCGUACCGUAAACCGACACAGGUGGAUGAGGAGAGAAUCCUAAGGCCGACGG